RNAcentral lists this ribosomal RNA (458 nucleotides) under uncultured bacterium. RNAcentral's name for it is "partial 16S ribosomal RNA". It matches the Rfam family "Bacterial small subunit ribosomal RNA", at positions 29 to 507 of the family's 1533-position model. The record is from RNAcentral.
AACGAACGCUGGCGGCAUGCCUAACACAUGCAAGUCGAACGAGACCUUCGGGACUAGUUGCUCACGGGUGCGGCACGCGGGGGAAGCGGCACUUGUGUUCGGGAUAACAGUUUGAAGCGACUGCUAAUACAGGGUGAUUACGUAAAUCCAAGGAUUUAUCGCCCAAGUGUAAGCACGUGUAGGAUUAGCUAGUUGGGGGGGUAUAAGCCGACGACGGCUACGAUCGGUAGCUGGUCUGAGAGGCAGAUCGGCCACGCUGGGACUGAGACACGGUCCAGACUCCUACGGGAGGAAGCAGUGGGGAAUAUUGGACAAUGGGCGCAAGCCUGAUCCAGCCAUACCGCGUGGGUGAAGAAGGCCUUCGGGUUGGAGAGCCCUUUUGUUGGGAAAGAAAAGCAGCAGGUUAAUACCCCGCUGUUCUGACGGUACCCAAAGAAUAAGCACCGGCUAACUUCGUG